Molecule: ribosomal RNA, 508 nt
Filed under: Agrocybe firma
Lineage: Eukaryota; Fungi; Basidiomycota; Agaricomycetes; Agaricales; Agrocybaceae
Description: partial small subunit ribosomal RNA
Source: RNAcentral
CCGUGAUGAACUAACCGUCUGUCGCUGGGGAGGAGUUCCGAUUGGGAAAUUGCAGCAAAAAAUUUUCCUCUAACUUUGUCUUUCUUAGUUUUUAUUCUUAUUAAAAAAUAAGAAUAAAAAUUAAUCAAAGGUUAGGGAUUUUUUAAUAAAAUAUGCACAAUAAUUUUAAUAACACUUGCCAGAUGUUUAAUUUAAAAAAUUAAAUUAAACAAAAGUGAACGCCGCUCAUUUUACUUAUGGUUUUAUGACCUAGUAACCGGAUACGUGUUAAAAAAUUUUUUGCGCCUAAUAAAAAAAAAAUUAGGCAAAAAAAAUAAAAAAAUCUGGGGCUACUGCUUUGUUUAUAUUUUAUUAAAAUAUAUUUAAACGUGCGCGGUUAUGUUUAAGGUUGUAUCUAUCAGUUAAUCGCUUUAGCUUUAUACAUUUAGUUUACUGUUUGUAGAUUGAUGUUCGAUGAACCCUUCUGAGUAACAUCUCAAAAGUCAUAGCAAGGUAGCUUGUACUGGAA